GGCUUGCUGUCAUGGCAACCGAGCCUUCCAAAGCCUGGAAAACUCACCAUACAGAUGUAGGGAGAAAAAUUCCACUGCUGAAUUUCCAAAGAAGGGCUCAAAAGGAGGCAGAAGGAGAAAAAUCUGAGCUUGGGAAUGACACAGGUGGAGGUGGGGAGGUUCUGUGGUUGGGGACCUAUUGAAGAUUCAUAGUACAUGUACCAUAAACCCGCCUAGCCAGGACCGGGGGAAGAGGACUCAGCACUGUGUGGCUUCAUCUGCAUUUGCUAAUGUUCAUAUCAUCUGAUCCCUGGAGCAUUGGCACAGAAAUAUUGAGGUUUAUAGAUGAGACAGGCACUUAGCUACCACAUGGAUUUAGAUGGGAUGCCUUCUUUGGACCACAGAGGCCACUGGAAACCUAGAGGACAUAUCUUGACCCAGGGACAGGAUAUACUGGUGAAGCCACAGCUCCUGAAUGACUCAGCUUUCUUUUCUGGACAUGUGCCACACCCAAGGGAUGUCCAGGCCUGCUGCCCUUAACCCCCGAACUGCCAGUGAGUUCUUGGAGCCUGCUUAGGGGAAGCUGAAGCCAGCAGGGAUAUGGGAAGAGCAGGAGACAUAAACCUCCCCUUGGACAUUCUUAGCUGACCCACAGGAGGCGGGAGUCAAGGGAAGAGAGACUACUCCAUGCAUCACUUGGGAAACUGAACUGGUAUACAACAAAGAAAUCUUCCCACAAACAUCUCAUCUUUCCCUCUUCAGUAUCCACAUUGGAAUAAUAAGAGAUAAGUGAGAUGAGGCAAGUGAUAAAGAUGGGAGUCCUUCUUCCUUAAUGCCCCAAACGGUAAAGAAAACUCUCAGACUAUGUUGCUCCAAGUUAGGUGAGACUUCCAAUCUUCUGCAGCUCUAAAUUAUCAUCUAUAAAACUGAGAUCUUUUGACAACUUGAAUAAUGUCAGUAAUACAAGACGCAUAACCUAGGGAGUACUAUUUAAUGAAGACUGUUUCGUGGUGUGUUUGCAUUGGCUCAUCCAUCACCUUUUCUUGCAGGAUAUUUGCCAUAAGGAGAGGCCUUGGCUAUUCACAGGUACACUUAUCUGUAACUUGACAGCAGAUAAGUCUGGCACUAAGGGGAUAUAAUCAUGUUUUAGAUACCUCUUCAUUCCUUCGUCAUGUGAGUACUUCCAUGUACACAAACACCCAGAAUAACAAUAACAACAGAAAUCCAUGGAAGUCUGGCUACUAAAUAAGCUUAUCUAACUAAUAUAGGGAUGUUGCUCUGAGAUGGAAAAGAUGGAAGAAGAUGACAGCAUUGAAUCCUUUUACCUGAAAGAUAAGAUAAAAUUCAUCCAGAAGAAAAUUUGGAAUGACUUAUGGGGAUUGGCCAUGAACAGAAGACAAUGAAACAAAUUUUAAAAAUGCCACCAAACAAAAUUUUACCUUCUGCAAAAGAGGAAUUGUAGCUUUGUUUUCUUUUCUGUCUUUUUGUUUGUUUGUUUGUUUGCUAUCUUUGAAAAUUCUCUAGCAAUUGAGCUUAAGCCUACUCUGGAUUUUUAUUUAAUCCGCUGGAACUGAGAAUAGAGAUUAGAAUUUGAGAGUUGAAAAAAAUUUAGAAGUCAUCUUACCCCCAAAACACUGUUCUCAUUUUACCAUUAGGCCCAUACACCCAGGUCCAAGGAGGUCCACGUUUGCUCAGGCCACAUGCAGGUCGCAUGGUCGCACUUAAUGCACAGAAGUCACUAUUUAACACAUUUUGGGUUUGUGUAACCAGAUAGUGGACUUUAUUAAUAGUGGGAACUUUUGAUUGUUAGCAGGUCAACUUCAUUUUUCAUGUGGGAGGAUUGUGAGGUAUAUGCCUUUGGGAAUGAAGAAUGUAGAAUAUAAAGCAAGGGGCUGAAAUAGAUCGCCAUAUCUCUGUUCAUUUUUCAUACAUUUCAGCAGGAGUUAUUUGAGAACACAAGGGUGUUCCAGCGCUGAAUGAGCAACUAGAAAAGACUGUCAUGGCCAAAUGUGUCUUUGGGCAAAUGUUCCUUCUGUGGCUAAGUUGGUGAGUUUUUCUGAGACCUUGAAGAAUAGUGAAGCAGUCAUCUGGUAAAAGAUUGAAUCAAAGUUCUCUGGGCUUCCCUGUUCUGCCUACCAUAUCCCCCUUUUCCUCUUAACUACUGCCAUUUAAUUACUCACAGUCAGUUGUGUUUCAAAGCCAUGAAUAUUUGGGCAUUCUCUUCUCUGGGAUGUGGAGAAACUGUUGGGCAUGGUUCUUGAGCUACUUAAUACUUAUGUCAUAAAUAUAAUGAGAUACUAAGCCCCACACUGUUUCACUGUUUAGAGCAGUCUAUGCACAUAUAAUCAAUGCCUCUAAAAGCUCUGAUGAAGUUUGGCACGUUUUAAAGAACCAAGGAGAGCAUGGAAAUAGGGCUUUUGGAGAGAAGAGUUGGAACCAUAGUUGAUUCUGGAAGCAGAAUAUUUCAUGCUUCCCUGGACACAGAGGACUGAGAUCUGAUCUUUCUGUUGGAACUGAAAAAAAAAUCUAGAAAUGAGAAUGUGAUAUCUUAUUUGUCAGACUAAAAUUCAUGGAAACUUUGAGUUAUGAAGUUCUUUAGAAGUUACAUAAAUCCUAUAAAUUUUAAUAUGGAAUCUCUGAAACUAAAGUAAAAAUAGAUGCAUUGUAUUAAGAUGACUUUAUUUAUAAAACUUUAAAUUGGUAGCAUUUAUGCAUGCUAAAGCUAAACCACAAAAACAUAUUUAAGUUUUGCUGUUUCCCAUUGUGUUUAAAUUGUAUAUCCAGAACAUUUGAGCAUAUUGGUUUUCAUUAGAUUUUAUUGCUUAUAAUGCACUAAUGUUAGUAGUUGCAUUAUGAUUAUAAUAUACAUAAGCAGAUAAAAUUGAAAUCAACUGUUGUAGAACCAAUCACUGAAGUUCCUUCACAAGAUCACUAGGUUCCAUAGAAAACAAUUUUGUAAAACAUUAAUCCAUUUCUUUAGCAUUGUAGAAAGUCCACGCAUGGAUACUUCUUUCUAGUGACAAGGAAUGCAUAUCUUAGCAAAGCAACCCACAUCUUAUUCUUGGGCAAUUACUCUUUACAUUCUACCAAAUCUGUUCAUGAAACAUCUAUGCAAUGGUCCCAGUUCUGGCCUUUGGAACCACGGUCCUCAUCUGUGUACCAGAAGACAGUUACUGUGCCACAUCAAGCUUGUCCUUUCUUUUGGCUUCAUUGUCCCAGGUUACCUCAAUUCUCCUGUCUACAGCAUGGUUCCAGAACCACAUGGAUACCUUCCUGAAUGUUCUCGUGCUUAUAAAGACACUUUUGAAAUGCAGAUGUCUUAAAUUUUCUGAAAUUAAACAUGUAUCCAACUGAAUUCCUGGUCUCUUCCCAUUAUGCCAGCUGCUGAGGUUAUAUGGAUCAGAAAAAAAUCUAUUUCACAUCCUUGACAUCUUUCUCUGUUUUGCCCUUUCUAUACCUAAUCCAUAUCUGGGGUCUAAACCACUCCUCCUAAAUCACUAAAAUAUCCCUUCUUUGCUCUGUCUCCUCUGUUAUCAUCUUGGCCCACCUUAUCAGUAUCUGCUUCCGGAGUCUACUCCCAAAGCAUGUCUGUUUAUAGACACCAAUGCUCCUCAGAGUUGCAAAACCUACAUCUUUCUUCAUGCUCCCAGAGGUAUCCCAUUGCCUUUAUGGAAAUGGGAAAUCUUUAAUAUGACUGACAAGUUGCUGUUGCACUUUUUCCUUCUCCAGCUGGAUUGUACACCCCAUGCUCUGUCCUGGCAUGUUCCUCAUUUUUCACUUCCUUCACCAUGCUCAGCUUAUCCUGCCACAGGGCCUUCCUAUCCAUUGUUUCUUCUGCCUAGAGGCAACUUUCCUUACCUGGUUGGUCCAACCUGCAAGAUUCAGUUCCAAGAUGCUUUCCCCAGUCUUCUGAGUUCUCUCCUAGGCCAGAUUCUCACAUUACAGGUUCUCUGAGUCCCAGGGAUGCUUGCUCCAAGAAUAAUCAACUAAUCCCACAAAUAUUUGUCAAGUAAGAAUGAUUAUUUGAUUAUUCUUGAUCAUUAGCUCCAGGAGGCUAAGAUGUGUCUAUUUUUGCUUACUUUCCCCAUCCCUAUCCCUUCCCAACAUGUAAUGUACUUGUAUUCAACAACAUUUCUUAAUUAGUUACAUAAUUCCUAUUUUGAGUCUCUGUUUCAUCAAGAAGAAUGAUCUGAAAUCAAGAAAAGAUGAAACAAAUAUGGUAAAAAUUCCUCUUCAUAUGGAAAUCCCAACCUUAUUUUAAAACAAUGUAUGUCUCCAGCCAUUGUUGAAUAAUGUCCAAGUUUAUUUCCCUUGAUUAUGUAAGCUCAGUAUUCAUACAGCAGGAAUAAAUGAAAAGGGUGAGGCAAAGGUGAUGAAGCAGUUGGACAAAGUUUGACAUAAUUUUCAGAGGAGAGUAAAGGAAUGGAAUUUUACAAAGGACUGAUAAUUAAACUUGAGCUUUGUUCCAGAAUAAAUUAACAAAAAUGGCAAAGAUGUGUUGCAAGCACUUAAGAAAAGAAGCAACGAUGACCAAGAGCAAUCAUGGGCUCAUCCAGAUGAAGUGUAGCAAAUGAUCAUCCAGGUGAACUUGCUGGACAGAAUAAUGGACAGCCUUGACAAGAAGCAUAUUGAUUUCAGUAAGGAUCUUGGCAAAGGAUUCCUUGCAAUAUCUGUGAGAGGUGGAGAAAUGUGGGCUGAACUCACAGCUAUUCAAAUACCAGGGUAUGUGUGCCUGGCUGGUGCCUGCCCAGGAUUGAUUCACUCUAAUGCUACUGAUUUCUGAGAUAGCCUCCUUCCAUGUUCAUAUGUAAUUAUAAUAACAACAGCUGGCACAUGAAAUGUCCACUGUGACACAUAAAGUGCCCACUGCUUAAGGUGUACUUAAUUCUUAAAUUUUCUUUCUCUUUGAGAAAGUAUUACUGUUGUUGCUCUUUAA
Molecule: non-coding RNA, 4915 nt
Organism: Ictidomys tridecemlineatus (thirteen-lined ground squirrel)
Lineage: Eukaryota; Metazoa; Chordata; Mammalia; Rodentia; Sciuridae
Source: RefSeq, a predicted model, not a curated record